CUCUGAUUUAGUGCUUCUCUGCUGUUGCUCUUCUAUUUUUUCUACCAGCUUCCAUCUACUUGUUCAACCCCUCAGAGAUUCAUGUAAGAAAUGUCUUUGGUUUCCUAUCUUCCACCUAAUCCAGGACAUUCCUUAACUCCAACGGCACCUUACCUUUCUUGAGUUCUCCUCUUCUCUGUCCCUGUCCCUCUUAAUCCACUGAGUGAACAAAACAUUCUAAGGGAACAAAUGCUUUUGGACACGAUUGGACAACCUCUGAGAGCAGUUGACUGGGCUUUGUUGCCAUUUGUUGGGAGUUCUUAGAAUACAGUGUUUACGAGGUUGCCUGGAAGCAUAAAUGUCACCUCCAAAGGGACAGUGGACCUUAAAGGAGCAUUUCAAGUUCUGUGGACUCAAAGUGAUUUGCAGACAUCCUCAACGGUGAGGCUCAUGGUGACCACUCAGUGCUCUUACCAUGCAUCCAUCCAGAUCCCUCUGUCCCACCGG
Molecule: long non-coding RNA, 486 nt
Filed under: Ornithorhynchus anatinus (platypus)
Lineage: Eukaryota; Metazoa; Chordata; Mammalia; Monotremata; Ornithorhynchidae
Description: lncRNA (ENSOANG00000049625.1)
Source: RNAcentral